GGGGUCGACUGGUUUUGACAGCGAGAUUAAUUAAACGGUAAGCACGUCGUGUAAUGACUUUGAGACACGUAAAAGGCUAGGUCAAACUUUAAACGGCGAGAAUAACUACGCUUUAGCUGCUUAAUCUGAAUUUAUAGUAAGAUAAGCCUCGGCACACAAGGUGUGCAAGCUAAAUGUCCCUUGAAAGCCUUGGUUAACGGCGGUCAGUUUUGGGGCAUCGUAAAAGUUAACAUAGAAAGCAAAGUGCUUUGAUUUGCUUUUGAAACUUAAGAAGCUAAGUUGUAGGUAGAGUGUUUUUAAUCAGCCUGCAAACGAAAACCAUGAAAAAACUAAACGUGUAGAAAGCCCUUUGGUUACUUGUUUGGACCCGAGUUCGAAUCUCGGCGACUCCAC
RNAcentral lists this transfer-messenger RNA (393 nucleotides) under Yeosuana aromativorans. It matches the Rfam family "transfer-messenger RNA". Rfam says of the family: Bacterial tmRNA, also known as 10Sa RNA or SsrA, is named for its dual tRNA and mRNA-like properties. Lineage: Bacteria; Pseudomonadati; Bacteroidota; Flavobacteriia; Flavobacteriales; Flavobacteriaceae. The record is from RNAcentral.